GAGUUUGAUCGUGGCUCAGAUUGAACGCUAGCGGAAUGCUUUACACAUGCAAGUCGGGCGGCAGCGGGUCCUUCGGGAUGCCGGCGAGCGGCGAACGGGUGAGUAAUGUAUCGGAACGUACCCAUUAGUGGGGGAUAACUACGCGAAAGCGUGGCUAAUACCGCGUACGCCCCUUUGGCGACAUUGGGGGAAAGCAGGGGACCUUUCGGGGCCUUGCGCUAUUGGAGCGGCCGAUAUCGGAUUAGUUUGUUGGUGGGGUAAUGGCCUACCAAGGCGAUGAUCCGUAGCUGGUUUGAGAGGACGACCAGCCACACUGGGACUGAGACACGGCCCAGACUCCUACGGGAGGCAGCAGUGGGGAAUUUUGGACAAUGGGGGCAACCCUGAUCCAGCCAUUUCGCGUGUGCGAUGAAGGCCUUCGGGUUGUAAAGCACUUUUGGCGGGGAAGAAACGGCGGUCUCUAACAUAGACUGUUACUGACGGUACCCGCAGAAUAAGCACCGGCUAACUACGUGCCAGCAGCCGCGGUAAUACGUAGGGUGCGAGCGUUAAUCGGAAUUACUGGGCGUAAAGGGUGCGCAGGCGGUUUGUCAAGAAAGGUGUGAAAUCCCCGUGCUCAACAUGGGAACUGCACUUUUAACUGACAGGCUAGAGUGUGUCAGAGGGGGGUAGAAUUCCACGUGUAGCAGUGAAAUGCGUAGAGAUGUGGAGGAAUACCGAUGGCGAAGGCAGCCCCCUGGGAUAACACUGACGCUCAUGCACGAAAGCGUGGGGAGUAAACAGGAUUAGAUACCCUGGUAGUCCACACCCUAAACGAUGUCAACUAGCUGUUGGGGCUUUCGGGCCUUGGUAGCGCAGCUAACGCGCGAAGUUGACCGCCUGGGGACUACGGUCGCAAGACUAAAACUCAAAGGAAUUGACGGGGACCCGCACAAGCGGUGGAUGAUGUGGAUUAAUUCGAUGCAACGCGAAAAACCUUACCUACCCUUGACAUGUCUGGAAUCCCGAAGAGAU
This 1014-nucleotide ribosomal RNA is filed under the name uncultured Burkholderiales bacterium. RNAcentral describes it as "bacterial SSU rRNA". It matches the Rfam family "Bacterial small subunit ribosomal RNA", at positions 9 to 1007 of the family's 1533-position model. The record is from RNAcentral. Lineage: Bacteria; Pseudomonadati; Pseudomonadota; Betaproteobacteria; Burkholderiales.